GGGUGCAUGGUCUAGUGGUAUGAUUUUCGCUUUGCAUAUUGUGUCAGUUGCUAAUGUGAACGGUCCCCGGUUCGAUCCCGGGUGUAUCCA
Molecule: non-coding RNA, 90 nt
Organism: Rhypophila decipiens
Lineage: Eukaryota; Fungi; Ascomycota; Sordariomycetes; Sordariales; Naviculisporaceae
Source: the annotation of a GenBank genome assembly